RNAcentral lists this ribosomal RNA (730 nucleotides) under uncultured crenarchaeote. RNAcentral's name for it is "bacterial SSU rRNA". It matches the Rfam family "Archaeal small subunit ribosomal RNA", at positions 1 to 713 of the family's 1478-position model. Lineage: Archaea; Thermoproteati; Thermoproteota. The record is from RNAcentral.
UUCCGGUUGAUCCUGCCGGACCCCACUGCUAUCGGGAUAGGACUAAGACAUGCUAGUCGAGUGAUUCAGGCAAAACGAGUCACGGCAUACAGCUCAGUAACACGUGGCUAAUCUGCCCUUAGGACAAGAACAACCCCGGGAAACUGGGGCUAAUUCUUGAUCGGUGAAGAACACUGGAAUGUGUCUUCACUUAAAGGCUUUACGUUAUCCUCGUGAGGUUGCCUAAGGAUGAGGCCGCGACCGAUCAGGUUGUUGGUGAGGUAAUGGCUCACCAAGCCUUUUACCGGUGCGGGCCGUGAGAGCGGGAGCCCGGAGAUGGGCACUGAGACAAGGGCCCAGGCCCUACGGGGCGCAGCAGUCGCGAAAACUUUGCAAUAAGCGAAAGCUUGACAGGGCUAUCCCGAGUGCCAUCCGCUGAGGAAGGCUUUUACCCAGUCUAGAACGCUGGGGGAAUAAGGAGAGGGCAAGUCUGGUGUCAGCCGCCGCGGUAAUACCAGCUCUUCGAGUGGUGUGGAUGUUUAUUGGGCCUAAAGCAUCCGUAGCUGGCUAAGUUAGUCCCUUGUUAAAUCCAGUGAAUUAAUCAUUGGAUAGCGGGGGAUACUGCUUGGCUAGGGGACGAGAGAGGCAGACGGUAUUUUCGGGGUAGGGGUGAAAUCCUAUAAUCCCGGGAAGACCACCAGUGGCGAAGGCUGUCUGCUAGAACGCGCCCGACGGUGAGGGAUGAAAGCUG